AACCUUAUGGACCUGCGGGCGUAUACCUGCGGAAGGAUCAUUACAGAGUUAUCCAACUCCCAGACCCAUGUGAACUUAUCUCUUUGUUGCCUCGGCGCAAGCUACCCGGGACCCCGCGCCCCGGGCGGCCCGCCGGCGGACAAACCAAAACUCUUGUUAUCUUAGUUGAUUCUCUGAGCGUCUUAUUUAAUAAGUCAAAACUUUUAACAAUGGAUCU
Molecule: unclassified non-coding RNA, 217 nt
Filed under: soil metagenome
Description: partial contains 5.8S ribosomal RNA, internal transcribed spacer 2, and large subunit ribosomal RNA
Source: RNAcentral